RNAcentral lists this ribosomal RNA (604 nucleotides) under Bacillus sp. CP10. Its description in RNAcentral is "bacterial SSU rRNA". It matches the Rfam family "Bacterial small subunit ribosomal RNA", at positions 339 to 934 of the family's 1533-position model. The record is from RNAcentral. Lineage: Bacteria; Bacillati; Bacillota; Bacilli; Caryophanales; Bacillaceae.
CUACGGGAGGCAGCAGUAGGGAAUCUUCCGCAAUGGACGAAAGUCUGACGGAGCAACGCCGCGUGAGUGAUGAAGGCUUUCGGGUCGUAAAACUCUGUUGUUAGGGAAGAACAAGUACNAGAGUAACUGCUCGUACCUUGACGGUACCUAACCAGAAAGCCACGGCUAACUACGUGCCAGCAGCCGCGGUAAUACGUAGGUGGCAAGCGUUAUCCGGAAUUAUUGGGCGUAAAGCGCGCGCAGGCGGUUUCUUAAGUCUGAUGUGAAAGCCCACGGCUCAACCGUGGAGGGUCAUUGGAAACUGGGGAACUUGAGUGCAGAAGAGAAAAGCGGAAUUCCACGUGUAGCGGUGAAAUGCGUAGAGAUGUGGAGGAACACCAGUGGCGAANGCGGCUUUUUGGUCUGUAACUGACGCUGANGCGCGAAAGCGUGGGGAGCAAACAGGAUUAGAUACCCUGGUAGUCCACGCCGUAAACGAUGAGUGCUAAGUGUUGGAGGGUUUCCGCCCUUUAGUGCUGCAGCUAACGCAUUAAGCACUCCGCCUGGGGAGUACGGUCGCAAGACUGAAACUCAAAGGAAUUGACGGGGGNCCCCACAANCGGUG